UGAGGUGUGGUUCAGUGGUAGAACAUGUGCUUAGCAUGAGGCCUUAGGUUCAAUCCCCAGCACCAAAA
RNAcentral lists this transfer RNA (68 nucleotides) under Cavia porcellus (domestic guinea pig). It matches the Rfam family "tRNA". From Rfam's summary of the family: Transfer RNA (tRNA) molecules are approximately 80 nucleotides in length. Their secondary structure includes four short double-helical elements and three loops (D, anti-codon, and T loops). Lineage: Eukaryota; Metazoa; Chordata; Mammalia; Rodentia; Caviidae. The record is from Rfam by way of RNAcentral.